Molecule: long non-coding RNA, 307 nt
Filed under: Coturnix japonica (Japanese quail)
Lineage: Eukaryota; Metazoa; Chordata; Aves; Galliformes; Phasianidae
Description: lncRNA (ENSCJPG00005014933.1)
Source: RNAcentral
AUGGUGACCUCGUGUUGUUCAUCAUCUCCUUUGGGACCUGGCUGCAGCUCUCAGCAUCUCCCAGCAUUGGCCUCGCUUUCCAGAACGGCACCUACGAGCUCAGCAGGCUUCGUGAAGGCUGACUCCUUUGUGUCUGGUUUGAGCCUGGAUUUCCCAUUAGCCAUUUAAACAUUGUAAGCAAUCAGAUUUUUGGUUUCAUGGAAACACUUGGAAGACCUUGAGCUCUUCUUUAAGUGGAAUGCACGGGUUCAGAAUGAGUGUGUAUCUGCAUUUGCAAUGCAUUGCUGGUUAAUGUGCUGGCUUGUCG